GGGGGCGUAGCUCAGUGAGAGCGGUCGGCUAUAAGCGCUAUGCGCCGACACCCGACAGGACGGUGGUGAAAAUCCAUCCGCCUCCACCA
This 89-nucleotide transfer RNA is filed under the name Caulobacteraceae bacterium. RNAcentral describes it as "tRNA-OTHER". It matches the Rfam family "tRNA". From Rfam's summary of the family: Transfer RNA (tRNA) molecules are approximately 80 nucleotides in length. Their secondary structure includes four short double-helical elements and three loops (D, anti-codon, and T loops). Lineage: Bacteria; Pseudomonadati; Pseudomonadota; Alphaproteobacteria; Caulobacterales; Caulobacteraceae. The record is from RNAcentral.